Molecule: transfer RNA, 73 nt
Filed under: Mustela putorius furo (domestic ferret)
Lineage: Eukaryota; Metazoa; Chordata; Mammalia; Carnivora; Mustelidae
Rfam family: tRNA
About the family: Transfer RNA (tRNA) molecules are approximately 80 nucleotides in length. Their secondary structure includes four short double-helical elements and three loops (D, anti-codon, and T loops). Further hydrogen bonds mediate the characteristic L-shaped molecular structure. tRNAs have two regions of fundamental functional importance: the anti-codon, which is responsible for specific mRNA codon recognition, and the 3' end, to which the tRNAs corresponding amino acid is attached (by aminoacyl-tRNA synthetases). tRNAs cope with the degeneracy of the genetic code in two manners: having more than one tRNA (with a specific anti-codon) for a particular amino acid; and 'wobble' base-pairing, i.e. permitting non-standard base-pairing at the 3rd anti-codon position.
Source: Rfam by way of RNAcentral
ACCUGGAUGGCUCAGUUGGUGGAGUGUGUAAUUCUUGAUUUCAGGGUUGUGAGUUCGAGCCCCAUGCUGGGUG